Molecule: ribosomal RNA, 395 nt
Filed under: uncultured bacterium
Lineage: Bacteria
Description: partial 16S ribosomal RNA
Rfam family: Bacterial small subunit ribosomal RNA
Source: RNAcentral
CCUACGGGAGGCAGCAGUGAGGAAUAUUGGUCAAUGGACGAGAGUCUGAACCAGCCAAGUAGCGUGAAUGAUGACUGCCCUAUGGGUUGUAAACUUCUUUUAUAAAGAAGUAAGACGAGGCACGUGUUCCUUUUUGCAUGUACUUUAUGAAUAAGGAUCGGCUAACUCCGUGCCAGCAGCCGCGGUAAUACGGAGGAUCCGAGCGUUAUCCGGAUUUAUUGGGUUUAAAGGGAGCGUAGAAGGGAUGUUAAGUCAGUUGUGAAAGUUUGGGGCUCAACCGUAAAAUUGCAAUUGAUACUGGCAAUGUUGAGUAAAGGUGAGGUUAGCGGAAUUCGUGGUGUAGCGGUGAAAUGCUUAGAUAUCACGAAGAACCCCGGUUGCGAAGGCGACUUACU